GUGGGGAAUCUUGCGCAAUGGGCGAAAGCCUGACGCAGCCAUGCCGCGUGAAUGAUGAAGGUCUUAGGAUUGUAAAAUUCUUUCACCGGGGACGAUAAUGACGGUACCCGGAGAAGAAGCCCCGGCUAACUUCGUGCCAGCAGCCGCGGUAAUACGAAGGGGGCUAGCGUUGCUCGGAAUUACUGGGCGUAAAGGGCGCGUAGGCGGACAGUUUAGUCAGAGGUGAAAGCCCAGGGCUCAACCUUGGAAUUGCCUUUGAUACUGGCUGUCUUGAGUACGGGAGAGGUGAGUGGAACUCCGAGUGUAGAGGUGAAGUUCGGAGAUAUUCGGAAGAACGCCAGUGGCGAAGGCGACUCACUGGCCCGUUACUGACGCUGAGGCGCGAAAGCGUGGGGAGCAAACAGGAUUAGAAACCCGGGUAGUCC
RNAcentral lists this ribosomal RNA (425 nucleotides) under uncultured bacterium. RNAcentral's name for it is "partial 16S ribosomal RNA". It matches the Rfam family "Bacterial small subunit ribosomal RNA", at positions 354 to 796 of the family's 1533-position model. The record is from RNAcentral.